This 4577-nucleotide long non-coding RNA is filed under the name Ananas comosus (pineapple). RNAcentral's name for it is "long non-coding RNA (ACOM_LNC002436)". The record is from RNAcentral. Lineage: Eukaryota; Viridiplantae; Streptophyta; Magnoliopsida; Poales; Bromeliaceae.
UCUCCUUCGUGUCCAUCUGUCCAUGGAGAUGGAAUCAAUCCCUGUUGAUGUCGUAGGCAAAGUGUAGAUCAGGUUUGUGUCUACAUGGGUUUAAUUGCUGAAGUUAUUAGGGUAAAAUGUACAGGUAGCCCCUGUAGUUUUGCCAUAUUGAGAUUUAACCCCUGAAAACUUCAGUUUUUCCAGCACAGAUUUUUUUUGCAUUUUGCAAUCAUAUCCUUGAUCCCAUAUUGCCUAACUUUCAUCUUGUGACAUCCCGGUCAGGUGAUGGGUAAUUACUUGUUUAAAAAAAUUUUGUUUUAAAAUUUUUAUUUUUUUGUCGUUAAACAAUUUGUUGCAAGCAAUCUAUUAUUUCUUCCUAUACUAUUUCCUAUAGAAACUCUACUUAAGAAAAGUAAAAAAAUAACAAUAAUAUCUAACGUGGUCGAAACUAUUUAAGCAAAAAUUUUAGGACUCGGUAGUAAGCAGAGGUGACUUUUACUCUUAUGUUUUCUAAUGACUUACUGUCAUACAUAUAGGGAGAGAGACAGAGAGUGUGUGUGUGUCUAGCUUAUAUGCUUUCAGAAGUACGGUGAUUUUCAUAUUAUCAAAUUAUUUUCGAAGCUGGGACUUCUGAAUUGACGAUUGUCUCCGUUAAACUUUGAUUUAAAAUAUUAGAAGUAUCUAGAAAAUAAAUUUCGUAAUUUGAAAAUAUCAAGAGCAUUGAAAGUAUCUGAAGGUAGAAAUGAUUGGAAAAAUAGAUGUAAUGGUGGAAAAGUUGGUAAACCAAGCGUUUGGUGCUGCUAGAAGCACCACAAUCGAACUCUAUAGAAUUUGGCUUAGAUUACUUUUAAUAGUAUUUGAGUUUUCUUAUUAUCAAGUUUAUUAUUCUUGGACGAAAAAUUGUAGGGUUGGGAUAAGAGUAGUCCCCUAAUAUCAAAGAGGUAGUCGUCGUUGCUCCUCUGUUCAGCCUCUUUAUCCUGAAGCAGCUCGCCUACAGAUUCACAUAUGAAGCUUCCGGACGGAAUAGAACUCAAGGAUCUGACCCCCCACCCUCUCGACAGGGUCUUGAAUAUUUCUAGCUGUAUUUUGAUACCGUGCUGGCUCACCCUGUUGUGGCACGGCGGCAGACACUUGCAGUUUGGCCUGCACUCAGUAUAUAAGUGGCUUCGCCUGAACAAUAGCGCCGUUGAAAUUAAAUGGAAUUUCCCCUCCAUUUUUCAUCGCACAAGCGCACUUGGCAGAAUCCGAACAGCCGCCAGAACAGUCGCAACCCAUGGGACGAGUGUUGGCAUACCAUGGUGGAUAUAUGAUCUUGGUGAUAUAUUGAAACGGCGGCGGCCGCUCAUCAUCGAUUGUGUUGACCGCACAGGUUGGUAUCUUCUCCUUGCCUUGAGAUAUAUCACGCACACAUAAACCUUUGCGGACUUUCAACCUUUUUGUCUUGUUAACUACAUUUAGGGCAAGUUCGGGUAGCCCUGGCAUUCGUCUCAACUGGAACUUAAAAACAGAAACACCAUGGGGCACUUUCUCACUCCAAUACUUCUCAACAAGGUACAAUCCUGCGUAAGUGAACGUCGAGACCAUCUUAAUCCGCCCAUCGGAGCUAUCGCCCCCUUUAUGCUCCUUAAAGCCAUGUAUAACCCUCACAGGUGUCUGCAUGUCAAUGCUGUUUUUGAGUGCUAGGUUCCCACGCUCGAGCUUCUGGUCUUCCGCUUCUUUCUUACCUGCGGGUUUUCCUCCCGCGCCAGAAUAUAUUAGCACAUCCGAACUGUCGAUGUCAUCAGGGUAGCCGCCAGAAGCAACGAUGCUUGUCGCAAGACGUAGACCGUUUUUGACUACAGAAUCUAUACCUCCUUGAUAAGGGCAGUGAAGUCCAACAAUAGAGAGCUCCACCCGAUAGUAGAAUUCGUCCCCGACUUCAACCCCAGGAACGUUUCCUAAUACUGCUUCACCAGAGUUAACAUACUCGUUGCACCUUUUGAGGACCGCGGCUGCCUCUAGAUCGAUCCUGCCAAUCUUGCCCGAUUCCUUUGUUGACUUGGCUUCUUCGCCUUUCAACAACUUUUCUACAAACCAAUUGAAACAAUCAGAGGAUUCUCCUGACCUUGGUACGAUCAUCAAUGAGCUUUUUGUCACUUCCCUUGCGAUUCCAUUCAAUAGGAACGCACGAGGUGAUGUUAACACUUGGUUCCCGUUUUCCUUGGUAUACGGUUAAUUCAUGUUUUCCUUGGUACAUGGUUAGUGCUUUUGCAUUCUCAUAAUCAUGUGGCAUCGCAUCCUCUUCAUCAUCUUCUUUCAAUUCAUCUAUCGGUCGAAAAACAGAUUCACCCCUUGGGGCAAGCUUCUUGUUCAAUACCCUCCCCCUCCCCUCCUUUUUUAUCUUAAUUUUUGAUGAACUGGAAGGUGAAUUUCCGAAAGAAGUCCUUCCACGGACAGUUUUUGGCAGACAUAAGAGCUUUGCACGAUUACCGUCUCACUGUAAGCAUCCAAAGAAGCAUCUCCUUCGCUCUGAUCAUCCGCGUCCUGUCUGAGCUUUCGUGGAACAGCAUCUACAGACUUGACGAAAUCGAUCCUAUCCUUCUUAACAAUUUUUUCAAUUGACAACGCUUCAAUUGAUUUCUCUGCCGUUUUUUGACUAAUCACUAGAGAUCUUUCACCACCAUUCGGACUCUUGUUUCUAACCUUUUCAAGAGAAGCAACUUUUGCUCCAAAUUUCCUCUCACCAUCCAUACUCUCACCCUUCAGUUUCUCAAUAGAAACAGCUUUAACCAACACAUGCGAACUGGUAUUUAUAUCUGCCUCUAGCAUCUUACUAUUAUCCAAGUUAGUUUUGUCUUUCAUAGCUUCCGACGAAAAAUAUCGAAGAUCAAGUUCUUUGCCAGCUGAUUUCCGACCGGUUUCGGAUUUGUCGCCACCAUCAAGAGAACUCUUACUUUCUGGCUUUUCAACCAAAACAAUUUGCCCGGAAACUUCUGAGGCUGCUUGCUUAUUUCCUUCCGAUUUUUCUCACCAUUCAAGUUCUUAUUCGGAUCAGCAGCUUUCGGGCACUUCUCUUUGCUCGUACGAGUGUUGUUCCUCCCAAACGGCCACACCCGACUAGAAAGCGCCGAAUUGCCAAUACCGCUCUUCUUUUAGGAGGAUAAAUCUUCGACAUCAGCCACCGCUUCUCGCCACCGAAGCCAUUUAGUUGGCACUCCAAAUUUUCAAAAUUUCUAGCUUGAUCAGAAGAGCUAUCUAUUCUGUUUUCCACCAAACCCUUCGCAGCCUGCUCGGAACUACCAUCAACUCUUUUCCUCCGGUGGCUUGAUUUCAACUCCAAGUAGAGUUUCUAAACCCUUAAUUUUCUCCUCCAAAGAACCAUUUGAUUCGUGCCUUUGCUUUAAGGGUGCGUUUGGUUCGCACUAUGAAAGAUUACUAAAAAUAAAAAGAUAUUCGAAAAUUUUAUUUCUAUUCAUUCUAUUACUAAAAAUGUAGUAUUUCGGUGUUUGGUUCAUACGGUCAUAUUAUUUAGUCAUGUUAUUUAAGAUUAUAAAAAAUAUACAAUUUAUUUAUUUAUUUUUUUUUAAAUAAUACUAUAAAAAAUUUUAAUAUUUUUUUGAAAAAAAAAGAGAAUGAGAGGGUUAAGAUUUUAGAAAAAAGAGGAAAAGAAAUAAUUAGUUUAGAGAAAGAUAUGAAGUUAGAGUGUAAAAAAAAAUAAUACCUAAAAAAAAAUAAUACCAAUUAGCCGGUGGAUGGAAAAAAAAAAAGAGAAUAUCCGAAAGAAAGAAAGAGUGGAUGGGAAGAAAGAAAGAAAAUAUUCGGAAGAAAGAAAGAAAAUAGAUAUAUUGUAAUUAUCCCAAUCCAUUGAUAUAAGGAUACCUACCAUCCCUCAAAGGAAUGAGAUUAGUAUUUUGAAAUGCAUUUCAUUCCUAAGUAAAUCUAAUAUUACCAACUGAAUUUUCAAACACCGUCAUACAUUUUUAUUCCUAUUGAAAUCUUACCCCCGCCAUUUAUUCCGAAGUUCCUGCUGCCGCUUCUCUCGAUGAAACCCUAACCUUAACAAACUCCACGACCGGCGGGAGAACAGGGCCAACGGAAGCACGAAUCGCCCCGUCGGGAUCCAAACGUGGAUCCGGAGUCACCGCAAUCGGCUUCAGAUCGGCCGUCGCAGGGAAUCGGCCGCAGCCCUUGGGCCAAGGGCGCGCGACGGAGAGCUUCCGCGGCUUGAGCUUGAGCGCGGGAGCCGCCAUGAUCGGAGCAGGGGCCUCGAUCAUAGGGAGCGACCUUGGAACACAAUCACGCUCCGCGGAGGAGCUCAAAUCGAAUCGGAAGGAGGGCCAAAUGAAACCCUAGCUACGACAUGCGAGGGAGCGGUAGAGGGGGGGAGAGAGAGGUGUGAUACAUACAUUGAACUAGGGUUCGAGGGGGAGCUCGAGAGAGAUCGAGAGACCACCUCACCUCGAUAAUGGUGGAGGAGGAGGAGGAGGAGAACGGCGGUGCCGCGCCGGAGAAGGAGGAGGCGGAGGGGGGAGAGAGAGAGAGAGAGAGAGAGAGAGAGUGGCGUUGAAUGCCAAAAAUGGAAAGUGGAAAAACGAAAAGUGAAAAAAUGAGAAAAAAAC